RNAcentral lists this long non-coding RNA (338 nucleotides) under Physcomitrium patens. Its description in RNAcentral is "long non-coding RNA (PPAT_LNC011208)". The record is from RNAcentral. Lineage: Eukaryota; Viridiplantae; Streptophyta; Bryopsida; Funariales; Funariaceae.
AGAUAUUCCAAAUUGUAGAAAGCAUGGCAAAAUAUUAGAUCAAGUAAUGCCUUAUGGUAUCUUCAUUUAAAAAUUUACCAACAUAUCAAGUGCACACUAUUAGUAAUCACUUCACAUAAGAGGUAAUGUUCUCUGAGGGACCUUAUCUAAUGUUGCUUAAAGUUGAAAGAUCUUAUUAUUACCCAAUUACAGGCCUAAAUUAACAAAGAAAAGCUAUCAAAAUUUAUUCCCAUGUAGUGAAUGAUUCCUCUACAUGAGAUCUAUACCAUGCAUAUGUAGAAUCCAUCAAGAUUGUUGAAAACCAUAUAAGGUAGUAUCUAUGAUUAGCCACUAAAUUA